CUAACUCCGUGCCAGCAGCCGCGGUAAUACGGAGGAUGCGAGCGUUAUCCGGAUUCAUUGGGUUUAAAGGGUGCGUAGGCGGAAUAGCAAGUCAGCGGUGAAAGCCUGUGGCUUAACCAUAGAAUUGCCGUUGAUACUGUUGUUCUUGAGUGUAGUUGAAGUGGGCGGAAUGUGUAAUGUAGCGGUGAAAUGCUUAGAUAUUACACAGAACACCAAUUGCGAAGGCAGCUCACUAAGCUAAUACUGACGCUGAGGCACGAAAGCGUGGGGAGCAAACAGGAUUAGAUACCCUGGUAGUCCACGCUGUAAACGAUGAUCACUCGUUGUUGGCGAUACACCGUCAGCGACUGAGCGAAAGCAAUAAGUGAUCCACCUGGGGAGUACGGCGGCAACGCUGAAACUCAAAGGAAUUGACGGGGGCCCGCACAAGCGGAGGAACAUGUGGUUUAAUUCGAUGAUACGCGAGGAACCUUACCUGGGCUUGAAAGGGGAUCGACCUCCCGGGAACCGGGAUUCUCUUCGGAGCGGUCUCCUAGUGCUGCAUGGUUGUCGUCAGCUCGUGCCGUGAGUGUCGGGUUAAGUCCCAUACGAGCGCACUCCUAUGUAGUGCCAGCGGUAAUGCGGGACUCUACGAAACUGGCGGUGUAACCGAGAGAGUGGGGAUGACGUCAAUCAGCACGGUCUUAUGUUCG
RNAcentral lists this ribosomal RNA (692 nucleotides) under uncultured Bacteroidota bacterium. RNAcentral describes it as "bacterial SSU rRNA". It matches the Rfam family "Bacterial small subunit ribosomal RNA", at positions 497 to 1210 of the family's 1533-position model. The record is from RNAcentral. Lineage: Bacteria; Pseudomonadati; Bacteroidota.